UUGCUUUUGUUGGCCUCUGCUG
This 22-nucleotide microRNA is filed under the name Gallus gallus (chicken). RNAcentral describes it as "gga-miR-1651-3p". Lineage: Eukaryota; Metazoa; Chordata; Aves; Galliformes; Phasianidae. The record is from miRBase by way of RNAcentral.